UACGUAGGGGGCAAGCGUUGUCCGGAAUCAUUGGGCGUAAAGCGCGUGUAGGCGGUUCGGUAAGUCUGCUGUGAAAGUCCAGGGCUCAACCCUGGGAUGCCGGUGGAUACUGUCGGACUAGAGUACGGAAGAGGCGAGUGGAAUUCCCGGUGUAGCGGUGAAAUGCGGCAGAUAUCGGGAGGAACACCAAUUGCGAAGGCAGCUCGCUGGACGUCGACUGCGCUGAGACGCGAAAGCGUGGGAGCAACAGGAUAGAUACCGUUG
RNAcentral lists this ribosomal RNA (264 nucleotides) under uncultured bacterium. RNAcentral's name for it is "partial 16S ribosomal RNA". It matches the Rfam family "Bacterial small subunit ribosomal RNA", at positions 524 to 790 of the family's 1533-position model. The record is from RNAcentral.